GCCGUCCGUGGCUGCACGAAUUCGAGACAUUC
RNAcentral lists this non-coding RNA (32 nucleotides) under Geobacter sulfurreducens KN400. Lineage: Bacteria; Pseudomonadati; Thermodesulfobacteriota; Desulfuromonadia; Geobacterales; Geobacteraceae. The record is from RNAcentral.